CCACCAUGGAGUUCCUAUAGCUCGUCCCCUGCCUCCUCGUCCUGUGCUCGAGGGAGACGCCCCUCCAGCGCAUCCAGGACAAGGCCCACCGCCAGCCGGUCGUUGUUGCACUCACCGGCGACCUCACCCUCCCCUCUGCACUGCCCUCCACCUCAACUGAUGCUUCUCACCAACAGGGAUAUAUUUAGCUGGUCAUAGCUUGUGGAUGUUCUCUGUUAAUUUUUGCACACAAGGUGUUUGUGUGUUUGUCCAAGCCAAUGUUCAUGAGCUUUAUCUUUGCUAUAAAUGACAUGGCUGAGAAAGUCCCUUCAAUGAAAGGAGGAGGAGUAUAGUCUUGGCCAUGGCUGGGAAGGAAGGAGAACAUGUAAAUUGAGGAUUUUUCAGAGAGAUUAGGACUGCUUGAUUUAUCAGAGAGAAAACCUUGAUCAGGAGCUUCGUCGAUGCAGGCCUUCAUGCUGGACCGAGGAGGAGAAGAAGGGGGGCACAUCGAAGGUGCCGGUGGAGCGUGCCGUCGAGAUUGUUGAUGACAGCGACACGGGCGAGGCCGGGGAGGAGGUCAUGGUUGAUGCUUUACUGCCUGAAUAUGUUGACCGGGAACAAGAGGGUAAGAUGGAUGUGAGGGCGGAGGCGCAUGCCAUGGUGCAGGAUGUUGUGGAAGCCUGAUUAUUUGAGGAAGUGACAGCCACUGGGAGCAUGGAUCGACAGACUAGACAGCAGACCAAGUCCAUUGAUCGAUUGAUUCAACAACGAAGGAAGAGGCAGAAGGUUAUAAAAACGAGCUUGGGGAUUUACUGACCUGAAUCUUAAACAAGGCCGCCCUGCUGAUGGACUCAAGCUCCAAGUUUGCUCCUAGCACGUCUUAAUUAAUUACAUUGGCUUGACAAAAUGUCUAGCAUGAUGGAUAAUGAAUUCAUUCUGUGAUGCCACAUAGAUAUGCAAAGUCAUAGUCCUGCAUGUAUGGACAUCUACUGAUGCAUACAAGCCGAUCGACGGGCACACACAUUAGUAAGUUCUGCUACUAGCCUAAUCAAGAGCCUUUUAUACAACCCCGCAAAAAAAAAGCCUUUUAUACAGCCUUGCAGAUUAAAAAUGAAUUGAAUUAUGAGCAUCUGACAACUACGAUCAAUUUCCUGGUUAUACUUCCUGAAAUAAAGGUGGCCGACCAAAUGAAAGGAUGGAUGCUUUCCUUUAUGUGAGAUAAUGUACAUUAUCUUACUUGAUCUGCAAUGUUUCUUUGGUAAUUUUUUAUGAAAGACACAUGACACAUAGUUUGCUGGAUAGGUCUAAGAUAAAUAUUUCAGUUAUAGGAGGAUAUUUUUAAAUGGGUAAUACUAUUACCGCCAUCUGCUUGGCCUGUCGUGCUUUCGGUAGAGCUUUCAUAUUUCAACACAAAAAAACAACAAUGCAAGUUGGGACCAGAAUAGCACACACAUCCUGAAAGGAAACAUCAGUUGGGAGUGCUCAAGUAUUCAGUUUCUUGGAUGAUGUAUUAUGUUCUCGCUUAUCAUGUACUCCCUCUGUAAACAAAUAUAAGACCUUUUAUAUAGAUAACUAAAGUAGUGAUCUAACAGGUCCUAUAUUUGUUAGAGGGAGUAUGUUUCUAGAUAUCCGUCAACUCCAAUGUUUCAUUUAUCUGCUCUCUGAAUAUGAAGAAGAUAGGCUUGCAAAGUAGCUUUUUAUGUGAAUAAUGUGACAAACAUUUAUGUCUUAUAACUGCAAACAUUUUUUUGUUUAGUCCGUCACCGAGCAAAUGUUUGGGAGUUGGAAAUUAUUUGGAUACACAUGAUCUCAGCAAAGAAAGAUUCACACAUACUACAACCAAAGGACCUCCUUCACUCUCUGUGCAACUACAGAAAUUAUCCUUAUGAGCAGCACCCUAGAUUUAGUUGUGGGUUCUAACAUAUUAGAGAUGUGGUUAGAAUACCUACUGCUCUGAACAAUUAAGUGGUUUGUAUAAACCACCGAUUCCCUCGUGCAGUGUACAAUGUGAUAAGGAUCAUCAUAGGAUCAAACUUAAUACAGGAUGUACACACUUAAUUGUUUCUGAACUAUACUACUUUUUAUGUUCAUUCUCCUGUCCUUUUAAAUCUCUAAUUUAGUUGCAAGUAUUUUAUUUGUUAUCGUUUGGCUUCUUAAGAACAAAUCUAGCAAGUUUGGCUUCUUCAGAACAAAUCUAGCAAGCAACGACUCGACUGAUGAAAGAGAUGUUGACCAUCUUUGCUGCAGUGAGGUACCUUCUUGAUCAUGUUACUAAUCUGUAUCUACAUUAUUCAGAUGUGAAACUCAUGCUUCUUAAAACAUCUGCAACACAUAUGUGCACUCUGAAAUGGUAAAUAUUUGCAUUCUAUAGUACUUCAAGUUUGUGUAGCAUCCCCAUAUUUCCCGCGACCCAGUUCCUUGAACUGGCUAACCCUUAUUGAUGUCAUAUGUCCUGAACUGAUCUCAUGACCAAGUUCCUCAACACGUCCGCCCCUCACAGGCAUGUUGUGCAGUGGCUCAAUUCAUCGCAUUGUGAUUGAACACAUUUGGACACAUUAGGAUUAGGUGAACACUGAACACUGCCAACAUCGGUGAGGGUGGUCAGGAAGAAAAGCCAAAACCACCAGACGAAGGGGCGCUGGUCUCUGGUUCUUGGCGAAGGCCACCGCAGCUCAUCUCCAAGACCUCUGCUGUCGUGUGUCCCCCAAGUUCUUCACCGAAUCUCCUCGCCCGCUGGCUGCUGCUCUUCUUCUCCCUCGAAUACAUCUCUGCUUCUGAUCCUCUGCUGCCGCCCCUAACCUGCUGCUUUUGGUCUCUGAUGCUGCCCUCGACUGCUGUACCUCUCCUUCUCCAACGAAUUGUUGUUCCUAAUCUUCUCUGAACCCAAACUGUUGCUGCUCCGCUUCCUCUCUGAACCUAGUUCUAAACAAUUUUUCAGUGCCACGAUUAGGCUUCCAAGGGUUCAGACAAUGAUGAAGAAGCCUUUUAUAUCACACACUAUAUAACAUCAUGGAAUCACAACCUUAUAACAACUAAUUUAAGAGGCUAUGUUCUGGUUUGCUGUAUCUCCACCAGUUUGGGUUGGUCUGAUAGCUAACCUAAACUGAAUAGGGAAUAAGGAGUACUUUAGUUGGUAUUGAAAGUGGUAUGUUUACUUUCAAGCUGAAAAUCUUGCAAGUUUGGUCCUGGGAUAUUUAAUGCUCCCUUUUCUUAUUAUCUUCCAAUCAUACUAUACAUAUUUAGUUUUUUUACUUUCUCUUGACAAGUGAACUGAAUUAUUCAUGGAGAAUCUGGUUAUGGCAAAUUUUAUUAUGGAGAUUCAUCCGAUGUAAUAGAAUAGCUUUAUUUGCUAAAAUCAAUACAUAACUAUAGUGUUGUAUGGUUACAACAUGUAGAGUUUUGCAAGUGAGAGUUACAGGAAGUCACUAUUGCAAGAUGGCAUUCAGUUAACACACGUACAAUCGACUGAUCACUGUAUCUUUUUUUGCUAAUUUAAUUUGAAAAAGCUAUUGCAAACAAUUUUUUCUUCUGAAAUCAUAUACUCUGUUUAUUUCUAAUGUGAUUUUGUUACUGUUUGUAUGGCAUUUCUCUGUCUAAAUUUUUUGUUACAUAAAUCAAUCUGCAUAUAUGUGUGCAGGCUGUGAAUCGACAAACAGCCCAGAAAAUAUGGCAUGCUACAUACCCUGUGACAGUACAUUAUCAGAAAUACUUAUAUUUUUCAUAAACGCAUCUCUCAUCCAUCAUGACAUAGAUGUGAUGCGUUGCAAGUGUUCUUUUUCGUUCUCUCGCGAUGCGUCGAGUACAUGAUGGAUGGUCUAAUCGUUCAGUGUGUCAUGUGUACUCAGUCACUUGUGUCAUCUUCAGAUUUUAGAAGUCAAAAUUCUAGCUUUAGCUCUAUAUUUAAGAAUUUUUCUACGGAAAAUGCAAGAAAAAUAAAGCGUCCUUCUGCUCUCAUUCUGAGGAAGUUCUGAAAAAUUGAGGCAUUUGUAUGAAUUUCUAUUCUUCAUUAUAAAUUAUCCUUUCAAGUUUAGAAAAUAAAACAUGAUAUACUCUGUAUGUCUCUGUUCUACACUACCACUACCAUUUUAUUGCUGCAAAACGCCAAUGAAAAAGUCAUUACUAUUUUCCACGUUUUUAUACAAUCAAGCUGAAAGAGCAAUAAAAUGAUCUGUUUUUGUCAUCGCCUCAGAUCUUACCGAAAGGCAAUGUGCUUAUAAUGUACAUCUAGAUAACAAUAAUGUGUUUGGGAAUGAUUCAUUUGUCGACGGCCAGCAUGUGGGGUGUGAGGGACGAUACUUAUAUCACUUAGUGGCCAAGGGAAUGACAUCACAAAAGUUUAUCUAAAAUCCUAGGAGAAGAUGGACACAUGUUCCUAUAUUGCUUCUCUACAAUUGCUUUCACCAUUUGAUCAUCCAUGUAAUUUAUAGCAUCCAUGCAUAGCUUAUCCUUAUGCUGUUUGUAUUCACUUAUUCCUUUUGUUGACAUAGCUAGGAGGCUACUAUGAAUGUCACAUAGAUUGUAAUUUAACUUCCUUACAAAUAAUUAACGUUCAAACAUUUCAGUGGAGGAAUCUCAAGACUUAGGAAUGGUGCCCCGACAAUUGUGAGCGGCACAAAGGAAGGGCCGCCAUCACCAAGGAAGUACGUUGACAAUUGUGGACUCCAAAGAGGAACAAGCUCUAUAUUUAGUGCAUUGAGUUGCUAUUUUAAAUUCUAAGAGGUUGAAUUUUGUCGAUUUCUAAGACAUUGACUCGGAAGAAUUAUUAUUUUGCUUGAUGUAAACUCAGAUUAAUUUGUCAUGUCAUUUGAACCGAACAA
Molecule: long non-coding RNA, 4796 nt
Organism: Triticum aestivum (bread wheat)
Lineage: Eukaryota; Viridiplantae; Streptophyta; Magnoliopsida; Poales; Poaceae
Exons: 2
Source: RefSeq, a predicted model, not a curated record